Molecule: small nuclear RNA, 107 nt
Organism: Chionomys nivalis (European snow vole)
Lineage: Eukaryota; Metazoa; Chordata; Mammalia; Rodentia; Cricetidae
Source: RefSeq, a predicted model, not a curated record
GUGCUCACUUUGGCAGCACAUGUACUAAAAUUGGAACAAUACAGAGAGGGUUAGCAUGGUCUCUGCACAAGGGUGACAUAUAAAUUCAUGAAGCAUUCUAUUUUAAA